CCCGCCUCGGCGCCCCGCCGGCAUCCUCAGGCCCGGCCUCGUGAGCUGCCCUUUACCGUGAGGGCCCUGGCUCCCCUUCCUCACCUAAAAUUCUCUCUGCGCCCCCUCCCUCUCUGGCGCCUGGAGCCGCAUCCAGCCCGCGGUCCCUUCGCCCGACCUGGGUGGCAUGCGGUCCUCCCUCGCCCCUUGCUUGGGUUCCAGCGCCCCUAGUCCUAGCUCCCCUCUUUUGUAUCCCCCUUUAAUCCCCCAUCCCCCCAUUCAACCCAACUUCAGCCCCCGCGCUGCGCCCCCCUUCCCUGGCCCGGCUCGAUUGGCCGCUUCCUGAGCUGUCAGACUUGAGUCCGGCGCUCUUAUUGGGCGAUUCUCUGGCCGGGCGGCUGUGCCAAAGGAGGGCGCACCGGGCCGGGGGCGCCCAGGCAGCGACUGCCGCAGGGAGCCGAAGACCAGAGUCCCUGGAGGGCCAGAGGGGCCCAAGAGCCAGACCCGGAAAUGGACGGAGAGAUGGAGAGACUGAGGAUCUCUGAGGCCCAGGAAGACAGUUACGGGAAAGAUGGAGAUGCAGUUGCAGUCCUGCUGGAAGUUCCUGCAGCCUAAACUCUGGACCGGUGGGGAACAGUCACCUCUAAUCCCGGGAGGGAGAAACAACCUUCACUUUCUUCCUCCAGCUCUCCCUGUGGAGCUUCUGACAAAGAGACUAGAGGCCUGGGUGAGCCUCCCGUCCUUUCUCUAUUGGUCAUCUCUUUGGAAAUUGGAAGAUAAACCUUCCCAGAGUUGCAAAUUGGGAGGAGAACCAUUCCAAGAGAUCUGAAUAAACUAACCCUAGAGUAUUCCAGCAUUUGAGCAAUCAGUCCCUGAUUAGUGAAGUCUUAAAAGCCUGAAGCCUGAAUUUAGCCAACAAACAUUCAUAGAGCACCCUCUAUGUGCUCCUGUGCUAGGUGCUUCAGGGAUGGAGAGGUUACCCACCUCUGGUUACAGUCAGGGAGGAAGAGCAGCUAGAUGCUAACUCCAGUUCAGAACACAAUUCAGUCAGUGUUCAACAGAGGACCAGAGAAUGUUUUGGGGGGUUGGAGAGACAAAGCUUUAAUUCCUACUGAAGCGAUUUAGCAGCAGCAGCAGGCACCUAAAAGAGGUUGAAUCUGGAGCCAGCAGAAUAGGAGUCAAGAGGAAAAGAGAAUGGACUGAUAUUAAGCCACAACAAUAUGCCUGUGAAUCUUAUUGUCAUAUAACCCUUUU
Capra hircus (goat) is the source of this 1233-nucleotide long non-coding RNA. RefSeq lists it as uncharacterized. The transcript has 2 exons. The record is from RefSeq and is a predicted model, not a curated record. NCBI's taxonomy places the organism in Eukaryota, Metazoa, Chordata, Mammalia, Artiodactyla, Bovidae.